RNAcentral lists this ribosomal RNA (1531 nucleotides) under Salmonella enterica subsp. diarizonae. Its description in RNAcentral is "bacterial SSU rRNA". It matches the Rfam family "Bacterial small subunit ribosomal RNA". Lineage: Bacteria; Pseudomonadati; Pseudomonadota; Gammaproteobacteria; Enterobacterales; Enterobacteriaceae. The record is from RNAcentral.
AGAGUUUGAUCAUGGCUCAGAUUGAACGCUGGCGGCAGGCCUAACACAUGCAAGUCGAACGGUAACAGAAAGCAGCUUGCUGCUUUGCUGACGAGUGGCGGACGGGUGAGUAAUGUCUGGGAAACUGCCUGAUGGAGGGGGAUAACUACUGGAAACGGUGGCUAAUACCGCAUAACGUCGCAAGACCAAAGAGGGGGACCUUCGGGCCUCUUGCCAUCAGAUGUGCCCAGAUGGGAUUAGCUUGUUGGUGAGGUAACGGCUCACCAAGGCGACGAUCCCUAGCUGGUCUGAGAGGAUGACCAGCCACACUGGAACUGAGACACGGUCCAGACUCCUACGGGAGGCAGCAGUGGGGAAUAUUGCACAAUGGGCGCAAGCCUGAUGCAGCCAUGCCGCGUGUAUGAAGAAGGCCUUCGGGUUGUAAAGUACUUUCAGCGGGGAGGAAGGUGUUGUGGUUAAUAACCGCAGCAAUUGACGUUACCCGCAGAAGAAGCACCGGCUAACUCCGUGCCAGCAGCCGCGGUAAUACGGAGGGUGCAAGCGUUAAUCGGAAUUACUGGGCGUAAAGCGCACGCAGGCGGUCUGUCAAGUCGGAUGUGAAAUCCCCGGGCUCAACCUGGGAACUGCAUUCGAAACUGGCAGGCUUGAGUCUUGUAGAGGGGGGGUAGAAUUCCAGGUGUAGCGGUGAAAUGCGUAGAGAUCUGGAGGAAUACCGGUGGCGAAGGCGGCCCCCUGGACAAAGACUGACGCUCAGGUGCGAAAGCGUGGGGAGCAAACAGGAUUAGAUACCCUGGUAGUCCACGCCGUAAACGAUGUCUACUUGGAGGUUGUGCCCUUGAGGCGUGGCUUCCGGAGCUAACGCGUUAAGUAGACCGCCUGGGGAGUACGGCCGCAAGGUUAAAACUCAAAUGAAUUGACGGGGGCCCGCACAAGCGGUGGAGCAUGUGGUUUAAUUCGAUGCAACGCGAAGAACCUUACCUGGUCUUGACAUCCACGGAAGUUUUCAGAGAUGAGAAUGUGCCUUCGGGAACCGUGAGACAGGUGCUGCAUGGCUGUCGUCAGCUCGUGUUGUGAAAUGUUGGGUUAAGUCCCGCAACGAGCGCAACCCUUAUCCUUUGUUGCCAGCGGUUAGGCCGGGAACUCAAAGGAGACUGCCAGUGAUAAACUGGAGGAAGGUGGGGAUGACGUCAAGUCAUCAUGGCCCUUACGACCAGGGCUACACACGUGCUACAAUGGCGCAUACAAAGAGAAGCGACCUCGCGAGAGCAAGCGGACCUCAUAAAGUGCGUCGUAGUCCGGAUUGGAGUCUGCAACUCGACUCCAUGAAGUCGGAAUCGCUAGUAAUCGUGGAUCAGAAUGCCACGGUGAAUACGUUCCCGGGCCUUGUACACACCGCCCGUCACACCAUGGGAGUGGGUUGCAAAAGAAGUAGGUAGCUUAACCUUCGGGAGGGCGCUUACCACUUUGUGAUUCAUGACUGGGGUGAAGUCGUAACAAGGUAACCGUAGGGGAACCUGCGGUUGGAUCACCU